Molecule: transfer RNA, 83 nt
Filed under: bacterium
Lineage: Bacteria
Description: tRNA-Tyr
Rfam family: tRNA
About the family: Transfer RNA (tRNA) molecules are approximately 80 nucleotides in length. Their secondary structure includes four short double-helical elements and three loops (D, anti-codon, and T loops).
Source: RNAcentral
GGGGGGAUGCCCGAGCGGUCAAAGGGAGCAGACUGUAAAUCUGCCGGCUGAUGCCUACAGAGGUUCAAACCCUCUUCCCCCCA